AGUGAACGCUGGCGGUAGGCCUAACACAUGCAAGUCGAACGGCAGCACAGUAAGAGCUUGCUCUUACGGGUGGCGAGUGGCGGACGGGUGAGGAAUACAUCGGAAUCUACUUUUUCGUGGGGGAUAACGUAGGGAAACUUACGCUAAUACCGCAUACGACCUACGGGUGAAAGCAGGGGAUCUUCGGACCUUGCGCGAUUGAAUGAGCCGAUGUCGGAUUAGCUAGUUGGCGGGGUAAAGGCCCACCAAGGCGACGAUCCGUAGCUGGUCUGAGAGGGUGAUCAGCCACACUGGAACUGAGACACGGUCCAGACUCCUACGGGAGGCAGCAGUGGGGAAUAUUGGACAAUGGGCGUAAGCCUGAUCCAGCCAUACCGCGUGGGUGAAGAAGGCCUUCGGGUUGUAAAGCCCUUUUGUUGGGAAAGAAAAGCAGCAGGUUAAUACCCCGCUGUUCUGACGGUACCCAAAGAAUAAGCACCGGCUAACUUCGUG
This 492-nucleotide ribosomal RNA is filed under the name uncultured bacterium. Its description in RNAcentral is "partial 16S ribosomal RNA". It matches the Rfam family "Bacterial small subunit ribosomal RNA", at positions 29 to 507 of the family's 1533-position model. The record is from RNAcentral.